CCCCUUCUUAACAAAGAGCAAUUCUAUAUCUCUAUAGAAAAUUUUAUGUUAAAACUAGUAAUAAGAAGCUAGCCCUUCUCUUUAAUGCAAACUUACAUCAGCCAGGACACCCCACUGAUUAUUAACGUCCCUAAAACCAUUGUAAUAACUAAUCAAGAAAAUAUUACCUUCUCCUACGUUAACCUAACACAAGAGCAUUUUAAGAAAGAUUAAAAGAAAAAGAAGGAACUCGGCAAAUUUUAGCCUCGCCUGUUUACCAAAAACAUCGCCUCUUGAGUACUAAUAAGAGGUCAUGCCUGCCCAGUGACUCUGUUCAACGGCCGCGGUAUCCUAACCGUGCGAAGGUAGCGUAAUCACUUGUUCUUUAAAUGAGGACUAGUAUGAAUGGCCCCACGAAGGCUACACUGUCUCCUUUUUCUAAUCAAUGAAACUAAUCUUCUCGUGAAGAAGCGAGAAUAAUUUUAUAAGACGAGAAGACCCUAUGGAGCUUUAAACAACUGAAAUAUUUGCUUUAACUUUAUAUUCUUCCCGAGUUUUUCCUGCAUUCAAGCAUUUUAAUUUCUAGUUUUAGGUUGGGGUGACCACGGAGCAAAAUUUAACCUCCAUGACGAAUAAAGCAUUUUCCUUUAAACUAAAAGCUACUACUUUAAGCAUCAACAAAUUGACUUUCAUUGACCCAAUAUUUUGAUCAACGAACCAAGUUACCCUAGGGAUAACAGCGCAAUCUACUUCGAGAGCUCAUAUCGACAAGUAGGUUUACGACCUCGAUGUUGGAUCAGGGUAUCCCAGUGGUGCAGCCGCUACUAAAGGUUCGUUUGUUCAACGAUUAAAACC
Molecule: ribosomal RNA, 834 nt
Filed under: Leucostethus fraterdanieli (Santa Rita rocket frog)
Lineage: Eukaryota; Metazoa; Chordata; Amphibia; Anura; Dendrobatidae
Description: partial 16S ribosomal RNA
Rfam family: Bacterial large subunit ribosomal RNA
Source: RNAcentral